Bombus impatiens (common eastern bumble bee) is the source of this 4514-nucleotide long non-coding RNA. RefSeq lists it as uncharacterized. Lineage: Eukaryota; Metazoa; Arthropoda; Insecta; Hymenoptera; Apidae. The record is from RefSeq and is a predicted model, not a curated record. The transcript is spliced from 3 exons.
UAUGUAGUAGUACAUUGACUUUCGUUUGAAAGUUUCUAUUGGCCAACUUCUGCGGCCAUAUUGUAAGCGACACUUGAAGUUAAUAUUCGAUCGAAGUACAUUGGUUCAGUCAACUUUAUCAUAGUGACCAUUUUCUGUAAACAAAAUAGUAGAAUCGACAAAAGAGAUGAUGAAGUUACGCGAACCACGUCGUAUCAUAAAUGCAAUCAAAGGUUUAUUAAAUAUUGUCUUUUAUCGAAACGAGAAAGACCGAUUGAUUUAUCGCAAUUUCUAUAAUUUUCGAAGACUUGGAAAAAACAGGGUAAAAUCGUGAGAUACGAAGUAACAGAGCGCAAAAAUGCAGCGUGCCACUGAAAAGGUUAAGAGGAAUUCUUUGUUAUCGAUCUAUCGAUAAACAAUAGUAAGUUCUCGACACCAGUGAUGAUCUCUGAUGGAACUCUUUUCACAAAAUAUAGUGAUAUUUUGUGAAAUCCCCAAAAUUAUAAUAGUAUCUUAGUGAUAAUAGUUUUAGUAACAAUUAUUUUUUCAUGUAAGUAGUAUUUAACGUGCGUAGUGAUUAACAAAGUUGUCAUUAGUUAAUUUAAAAUAAAGCUAUUGCUAUAUAUAUUUACUAUAAUGAACAAAUAUAGUACUAAUAACUUUAUAGUUGUUACUAAUGGAAACAAAGUGCUACGUUUUUUCGUAAUCCAAGAUAAAGAAACACAGUACUACGUUAGUAAAACGGAUACUGUGCGUUCCUAAUUGCUUACAAAUCUAACUGAAGCAGUUCUAGAACAUAGUCUAUUAAGACUAUUUUCAAACAUCUAAUAUUUAAAAUAAAAGAAAUUAACUUGUAAUCAAAUGUCACCAGGUGUCGAGAUCCACAAAGAAAGAGAAAUAGUUUGAGAAACAGAAGCGGCCAAACAAUAGCUCGUGCGCACGCGCGCUAUCAUAGAAGUGUUCUAUGGCUGUGUGUGUGCAUUAGGGGAGAUUCAUACGUGACUAGAGGAUGUCGCAGACGCAUAAAUCAGCGAGAAAAAGGGGAAAUAGGGACCUGUCGAUAUGUACCACUAGUAAAAAAAAUCCCUAACCUUUCCAUUGCUUAAGAUCUCUGAUUGAGUCAGAAGGAAAAUGAAAAGGCUAGGAAAGAUUAGCAAUACCAACUUAUAAAAUAAAAAUAGAAGACAAAAGGGGUAGAAAGAAUGCGUGUAAAACGAAAAGCGUGUGAAAGAAACAGAGAGAAAGAGAUAGUAUUAGACAGAGAUAGAAAUUCUGUAUGUAUGUAUGUCUGUGUAAAAGUAUGCCUGUAUGUAUAUGUUAUAUGUAUAUGUGUGCGAACAUAGAGUAAAAACAGUUACAGUAGACAGUUACAGACAGACAGACAGACAGACAGACAGACAGACAGACAGAUAGAAAUAAGAUAAAGAUCUAGCGAAAGUGUGAAAGAUAGAGCAGAGAGGAGCGCUUACAGCUUGGUCUGUCGAACUCUUGCUGUAGGGUACUGGUAUCAAACGUUCCUGCAACUCGCCACCUAUUACCUUCAAGAGUAAAGGAUAAUAUCAUGGUUAUAACUGGAUACAACGAGCAGUCAAUGCACUUAACAGUACACCAUUUCUCGAAAUAUUGGUGUACUAAAAAAAGUAAUUCUUUUUUAACAUUCCUGAACCUUUGUCCCGGUAUUGAAUAACACCACGCUCUCUGCCUGUAGGCACCUUUUAACUGAUGAAAUUAUCUCUUUGAAAUUUCCCUAGGAAUAAAUCCAAAGCUAUAUUUAUAAUUACCAUCCCUCAUGGAAAUUUUGUUUAGCAGAUUAUACGAGAAACGAUUGAACUGGCCUCCAGGGAUACCAAUUUAUUAUUUUAGAAACUACUUUGUUUGGUGUUUUGUAAGGAGUAUUUACAGCAGAAACAGAUAUUUAGAGAUAGUGAAGCUAAAAAGUGCCUGAUCAUCAAUAACUAUUGAGAAAGAAGUACACUUAAAAGUGGUAACCUGCUGGUUAUGUAUAAUCAUUAUGUAUAUGUUAUUCGCGUGAGUAUCAUUGGAUGUGUAAAACUCGCGGCACUCGAUCGCACGAAGUAUAUGGAAAAAGGAAAUAAAAAAGAUAACAGAGAUUCAUAAGUGGAAACCGAGAAUAGCUCAUACAUGCAACGUAAGAUAUAACAUCCUUGAAGAUAUACACCCUCGUACGAUAUGUUUUCUAUUUAUCAUUUCUAAACGAAAACUGUUGUAAGAAAUGCCUAGCAAUGUAUGUAUUUCCCUUGUUCCAUUGUUUGUUGAUAUUAACUUAACUUAGGUGAAAAUCCUACGACGAGUGAAUCCUAUUACAGUGUCAAAUUAAUUAAUUAACCCAGUGAGAGACGAGUUUCAUAGAUUCCACUUAUCUCUGCACUUCGAACUUCUCGAGACCUACCCAGUGAGUUACAAAGACACACAUAUAUAACAAUGAUCUUUAUUACAUGAAGUAAUAAUAUUCUGUAUAACGUCACGAAAUGGUAAAAGUCUAGGACAAUGAGUGAGUAGAAUAAAUCCGAGAUUAGAGUUUAGAAAGUUCCGUAGAGACUCAAUCUCAAUAUAGUAGAGUACUGCUCAUCUAGUUGUAUGCAUCCCAAUAGAGUACCGCGUGUUUAGUUGAGUAUAUAGAACACCGCGACGUUCAAUAACAAAGUAGUCUACAGUAGAAUAAUCAAUGACUGGCACAGUACCAGCUAGUAGUAAGAAGUAGUAGUCAGAUGGACCGCAGUGAAAUAUUAACUUUAACUUCGUUUUGGAGUGCAUCAAAUCCGUCACUUUUUUUAAUAAUGUAUGAUACUUUUUGGUGAGUAGAAUUUAUUCAUAUAGAAGUUAUUCAUAUAGAGUUCCGUUUUCAAGAAAAACUGAGAUUGUAUAUCUGUUAAGUUUGCGUGUAUUCCACUAACCGUAGUCUAGAAUUACUUUACCCAGUUACUAGCUAGCUACGGUUACCUCCAUUUGUGUUUACAAACAAUAUCAAUCAGGAUUUUGUUUAUAUAUCUCUCAAAACAAUGAUAUCCGCGUCUUAGAACUGAGAAUUUUUAAUUCUACUCUCUAAAAAAGCUUAUCAUAUGUUGUGAAAAAGGAUCACAAAUUCGGUAUGUCCCAAAACGUUCAGCCAAAUAUUCUAUAUUAGAGUUCAUGUACAUUAGUGUCUUAAGGCCAUCGAAGAGUAACCUCAAUUACAGUGCUGUCCACCAGUAGCAGGACUUCUAAUAUACCUUCAAAUGAUUUAUAUUUAUAUAACAUCCUUUGUUUGAUUAUAUCCAUAGAGAGUACCGACAAGGUUUGGCUGUUAAACCUGGGGAUGCCUCAGAUAUGUCUAUGUAUAACAAAUUCCUCUAUCAUUAUAAUAUAUAAUUUCUAUAAGAUAUAAUUUUUCAAACUUUUUCAACUUGCGAAUAAAGUUUUGACACCGUUACUUUAAUUUAAUGCUCACACUCUGAAACAAAGGUAUUUCUCUCCUUCCUGGGGAAUUUUACACCGCAAGCGGCUCAGUUACGUGUUACGCCAUAAAGGUGGGGGGUGACUACUCGAAAAUGACCUUGAAGAACCAACAUUUGAGAACUCUAGGAUAGAAUUAAUUAGACGUAUCUUAGCGAUACGUUUAAUAACUGAUCUGCUGUGCAGGAUUCCAUCGACUGAUUUUUUCUUCUUUUUAUUGUAUUACAAAGUGCAAAAGCAUUAGUACGGUCUUUGAAAAUAAAAUCAGGCUCUGGAAUCCCCGUAAAAUCAAUCGAUUUACGAGCGAGAGUGGUGACUUACGAAACAUACGAACAGAAAUGUUAGGUGAGCGUGAGGAAAAAUAGAAUAAAGUGAAAGCUGAUGUGCCUUGGUUCACAGCCGGAAACAGUGCUCUUGUGUACCUUUCCGGAAAUGUAUUUGUUUCGAAGCUUCACAUGGCAUUGGUGAUACAACCAUUAUUUUUUCAAUGCGAAUAGAGAGAUUGACAAUUGGGAAAAAUAUAUGUUCUUAUUAUGUCAGACGGAGAAAGCAGAAAUUUAUUUUCAUUAAAUGAGCCUGCAUUGACAAGCUCGCAACUUAUUUCUUUUUCUAUCGUUGAGAAAAAUCUCUGAGGAGAAGAUGGACAUUAGAAGCAGUUGAGUACUUUGCACUUUUCAUUUCCUCGACCGUGAAGGAACAUCGCGUGUUCGUGCAGCAGAAUACGGUUUAACGCAAGCAAUGCAUAGAAACCACAGAAAUGCUUUUUUCAGUGUGAGCAUACAGUGGACAAUCUUAAGUAAUUUUCUCAUCUUAUACUUAAUAAAACGCAACCUUUUCAGGCACUCAUCUUCAUUUCAAAUUCUCUUAAUUUCUCUACAUUCAUCCUUGAUCUCUCACAUAAUGAGAUAGUUAAGGAAAUGCAGUGCCUAAGAAGUUAAUCAGAAUGCAGACUUUCAUACUUCUUUGGUCUGAAAGAUUCAGAUCAAAAACAAGGCUCGAUAUAGACAAAGUGGACUCAUGUUGAAUUGUAGAGUUUUACAAAGUGCAAGCAGAUACAGUGUAAGUUACAAUACCAAUAAGAA